UGAAGGAAGAAUUUUGGUUGCAAUUGGUCAUGUCCAAGAUGGAAUUGAGUCAUGAUAAGGAGUAGGGUUAUGACUAUGGAGAGGCAUACAUACUUCAUCAUUCUUCUCCUAAAUUGGAGUGUUCAAUUUGAAAUGAUGAGAAACAAACUUGGGAGAAUCCGAGGAAUCAAUAGAGAACAUACCAAAGAUCAGAUGCUCUUGUUCUUGAUUAAACAACCACAUAAUCAAUAAGAUCAACAAUUUACAUUUAAUGUGAAAUAGUG
Molecule: unclassified non-coding RNA, 263 nt
Filed under: Hevea brasiliensis (rubber tree)
Lineage: Eukaryota; Viridiplantae; Streptophyta; Magnoliopsida; Malpighiales; Euphorbiaceae
Source: RNAcentral